GACGAACGCUGGCGGCGUGCCUAAUACAUGCAAGUUGAGCGCUGAAGGUUGGUACUUGUACCAACUGGAUGAGCAGCGAACGGGUGAGUACCGCGUGGGGAAUCUGCCUUUGAGCGGGGGACAACAUUUGGAAACGAAUGCUAAUACCGCAUAAAAACUUUAAACACAAGUUUUAAGUUUGAAAGAUGCAAUUGCAUCACUCAAAGAUGAUCCCGCGUUGUAUUAGCUAGUUGGUGAGGUAAAGGCUCACCAAGGCGAUGAUACAUAGCCGACCUGAGAGGGUGAUCGGCAACAUUGGGACUGAGACACGGCCCAAGCUCCUACGGGAGGCAGCAGUAGGGAAUCUUCGGCAAUGGACGAAAGUCUGACCGAGCAACGCCGCGUGAGUGAAGAAGGGUUUCGGAUCGUAAAACUCUGUUGGUAGAGAAGAACGUUGGUGAGAGUGGAAAGCUCAUCAAGUGACGGUAACUACACAGAAAGGGACGGCUAACUACGUG
This 497-nucleotide ribosomal RNA is filed under the name uncultured bacterium. Its description in RNAcentral is "partial 16S ribosomal RNA". It matches the Rfam family "Bacterial small subunit ribosomal RNA", at positions 28 to 507 of the family's 1533-position model. The record is from RNAcentral.